RNAcentral lists this transfer RNA (72 nucleotides) under Cavia porcellus (domestic guinea pig). It matches the Rfam family "tRNA". From Rfam's summary of the family: Transfer RNA (tRNA) molecules are approximately 80 nucleotides in length. Their secondary structure includes four short double-helical elements and three loops (D, anti-codon, and T loops). Lineage: Eukaryota; Metazoa; Chordata; Mammalia; Rodentia; Caviidae. The record is from Rfam by way of RNAcentral.
GGGUGUGUGGGUCAGUGGUUGAAUACCUGCCUACCAUGCAUGAGGUCCUGGGUUCAUUUCCCAGAACUGCCA